CACUCCCCUUGAUAAGGAUGGAAGAGGUCCCAGUGGCCUGUACAACACACAACACGCAUAUGGUUAAGGCAUUGCCACUUACUUCGUGGCAUCUAACCAGGUGUUUUU
Molecule: small nuclear RNA, 108 nt
Organism: Elgaria multicarinata webbii
Lineage: Eukaryota; Metazoa; Chordata; Lepidosauria; Squamata; Anguidae
Source: RefSeq, a predicted model, not a curated record